AAGGGCUUAGCUUAAUUAAAGUGGCUGGUUUGCAUUCAGUUGAUGUGGGGUUAUACCUGCAGCUCUUA
This 68-nucleotide transfer RNA is filed under the name Spilogale pygmaea. Its description in RNAcentral is "tRNA-Ala". It matches the Rfam family "tRNA". Rfam says of the family: Transfer RNA (tRNA) molecules are approximately 80 nucleotides in length. Their secondary structure includes four short double-helical elements and three loops (D, anti-codon, and T loops). Further hydrogen bonds mediate the characteristic L-shaped molecular structure. tRNAs have two regions of fundamental functional importance: the anti-codon, which is responsible for specific mRNA codon recognition, and the 3' end, to which the tRNAs corresponding amino acid is attached (by aminoacyl-tRNA synthetases). tRNAs cope with the degeneracy of the genetic code in two manners: having more than one tRNA (with a specific anti-codon) for a particular amino acid; and 'wobble' base-pairing, i.e. permitting non-standard base-pairing at the 3rd anti-codon position. Lineage: Eukaryota; Metazoa; Chordata; Mammalia; Carnivora; Mephitidae. The record is from RNAcentral.